RNAcentral lists this long non-coding RNA (232 nucleotides) under Elaeis guineensis (African oil palm). RNAcentral's name for it is "long non-coding RNA (EGUI_LNC064155)". Lineage: Eukaryota; Viridiplantae; Streptophyta; Magnoliopsida; Arecales; Arecaceae. The record is from RNAcentral.
GAGUUCUCUUCUCUUGGGUGAGCUCAAGAUCAAAAAACCCUAGGGUUUAGUCUUCAGGGUUUGGGAAAAGAGGAAAAUAAGAGAAAAAAUAGUUUCUUCUCCAUUCUUCUUCCACCUCUUCAUCUCCUCCAGAAGUCUAUCUUCAACCUCUAGAAAGAUUUUAGAGAUUUAAAGAAAAGAUUCAGAUCAGUCAAGAAGAAGAUCCUCAUGUGAGCUAGCAUUUCAAGGAGAC